This 73-nucleotide transfer RNA is filed under the name Planctomycetota bacterium. RNAcentral describes it as "tRNA-Lys". It matches the Rfam family "tRNA". Rfam says of the family: Transfer RNA (tRNA) molecules are approximately 80 nucleotides in length. Their secondary structure includes four short double-helical elements and three loops (D, anti-codon, and T loops). Further hydrogen bonds mediate the characteristic L-shaped molecular structure. tRNAs have two regions of fundamental functional importance: the anti-codon, which is responsible for specific mRNA codon recognition, and the 3' end, to which the tRNAs corresponding amino acid is attached (by aminoacyl-tRNA synthetases). tRNAs cope with the degeneracy of the genetic code in two manners: having more than one tRNA (with a specific anti-codon) for a particular amino acid; and 'wobble' base-pairing, i.e. permitting non-standard base-pairing at the 3rd anti-codon position. The record is from RNAcentral. Lineage: Bacteria; Pseudomonadati; Planctomycetota.
GGGCCCGUAGCUCAGUUGGUAGAGCAACGCACUUUUAAUGCGUGGGUCGCAGGUUCAACUCCUGCCGGGCUCA